UGAUUGCGGGAAGGAAGUGUGGUAUUGCUCCAGGGGCUCAAUUGGCGGUGGCCUCAGUUUUAACCGAAAAAUCUUC
Molecule: transfer RNA, 76 nt
Filed under: Pararhodospirillum photometricum DSM 122
Lineage: Bacteria; Pseudomonadati; Pseudomonadota; Alphaproteobacteria; Rhodospirillales; Rhodospirillaceae
Description: tRNA-Phe
Source: RNAcentral